UUCUAGCCCCGAUUGGAGCAUUUGUUUGAGCUCUUUUUGGAAUUGCCAAUUAUUUGGCGAUCCCAAAAAAGCGAGUGCGGAAAGCGGGAAAUAAA
This 95-nucleotide unclassified non-coding RNA is filed under the name Kaistella jeonii. RNAcentral describes it as "Chryseobacterium jeonii Flavo-1 RNA". Lineage: Bacteria; Pseudomonadati; Bacteroidota; Flavobacteriia; Flavobacteriales; Weeksellaceae. The record is from RNAcentral.